Molecule: long non-coding RNA, 38913 nt
Filed under: Lathyrus oleraceus (garden pea)
Lineage: Eukaryota; Viridiplantae; Streptophyta; Magnoliopsida; Fabales; Fabaceae
Description: Pisum sativum (pea) long non-coding RNA (PSAT_LNC003504)
Source: RNAcentral
UUUCAUUGAUGUAAAGAUCAUUCUAUUCAAAUAAAGGUCCAUUCAUUCAUUCAACACUUAUAUUGUCCAUUACAAAAGGAAAUACAAAAAAAAAAAACGUAAAUUUUACAAAGGUUGACUUUUUGUCAACCGGUUGACCAAAGUCAAUCAACCUCUUUUUCCAUGACCUAAACCCUAGUACUAAUUGUAGCUUCAUUCUUCAUUCUUCAAUCUUCCAUGACUCCAUUUGCUUCAUGAGCAAGAAAACUCAACUUUGCACCAAGUUUGCUUCUUGCUAUGCCAUGAAUGCUCACUUGCCUUGCCUCCACCUUACCUUGCAACUUUGUCAAGCUAGCCCUGCACUCAAUCCAUAAACAAUGCAGAAUCAGUCCAUACAUUAGCAUACAUAGGUUCAUUCAUAUGGCUCACAUACCUAACUUUCAAGUCCUAAGUUGCAUGACAUCAAGCAUUAACCACGUCCAUACAUGACAUCAAGCAAUCAUGCUCAUGAUAAUAACAUUUACUACUGGAGUAAAAAACUAACAACUCAUGUUCAUACACCAUGAUAUCAAUUCAAUUUCCAACCACAUAACAAGCAUAAUCAUCCCUAACAGUUCAUAACCUUUUGGGAGUUAACAAUAACAUUUUGCAACUUUAGCAUGCAUCAUUAAUUACCUAAUAGAUACCAUCCAAUUCACAACAGGUAUAGUCAAAGCAUAACAUGGUUUUCAUCAUAACAGUCUAAUCUAGUUGCAUUAUUGACAACAGUUCAAACUUGUUUCUAACUUACUAACCAAUUACUAAUGCUAUUUACUAAUACUUUCAUGGUAAGAAUUUAACAUAGCAAUCAGUCCAGCAUAACAAUCAGGAUCUUCUAAUUUCCCUAAUUGCUAACAAUUAACAGUUCGUUAACUGACUAAUUCAUAGUUAACUGAUAACAACAUUUCAUUAACAUGAAUUUAAACUAACCAUAACCUCCUAACUCUAACUGCACAAUAAUAAGCACCACAAUAUAACAUAGUUCAUCUAAUUCAAUAAUAUUCUAACUUCACUUAACUAACUGAAGCAUCUAACAACUAACAAACUAACAAUUAACAGAACUCAACCAACUCAAACUAAACCUAACAGAGAUUAAUAAUAGAAUAUUAAGCCUCCAACAGACUUCAACAUGAAAAUUUCUAACAGAGUUAUCAUUCUAAUCCAAUCACUUUUCAUUUUGACCAAUCAUUAGCAUAAUCACCAUUAUUCUGAAAUCACAGAAAUUCACUUGCGCUCCUUCAUUUCACUCCACAGACUCAUAUUGCAAAUCUCACAUUUCUCUUCAUCAAAAUCUCUCACUCUCCACCAGUUUCAAGCUCUCUCACGCAUGCAUUAACAUAGCAAUAACCACGAUCACACACAGAACAGAAGAGGAAUCAAAGAGCAGAAGAAGAACAAAAGAGUUGAAAGCAGAGAAGCGGAUCGAAGAAGAGAAAAGAGGAGAAUUGGUACUUGCACAGUCAUCGGAGAAGCAUUGCAUCAUCAUGAGCAACUGCCUCUUGCUCAUACUAUCAGAUUAAAUUUAUCGAACGCGGCCACGAUACGUCCGCAAAUCUUCUCAAUUUUGUGCAUGAAUACGGAUUGAUUCCGAUUUGGUAAGGACGGACGACGAAUUGAAUAGGAAUUUGGUGAAGCUCCAUCUUGGAUCCGGAGUCGAUUUCUUCAUAGCUUGUGUUUUAUUUUUUUGAGAGUGAAGAAGCGUAGAAUCAAAAAUGAAGUUGAGUUUGUUGAGUUUGUGUGUGGCCUGAAUAUGUUGGCUUGGGUCCGUUUUGGUGGUUUGGAGCUUGGGAUUGGGGGCCUAGCUGGACCAAGCACCUUUCAAUACACACCACCUGCUUUGGGCUUGCACACCCCUUGAAUCUUAAUUAAUUAAUCACUUAAUUAAUUUAAUCACUUAUGAUUAGGCUUAAUCAUAUUUCUAUUUUUUUUCUUAAUUGAUUAAUCAUGUUUGUUAUAUGGAUUAAUUAUAAUUUAUGUUAGUCAUUUAAUUAGUUAAUUAUGAUUUAAUCAAUUAGUUGUCAUUAGUAGAUAUAACUGUUAAUUAAUCAAUUAAUUAAAACCUUUAGAAAUUUUAGGUUUUCGUUAAUUGAACUUAGCUUAAUUUAAUUUUUCAUCACAUAUUCAUGAAUUGUUUUAAUUGAUUAAUUGGUUCUAAAUAAUCUUGAUUUUAUUUCCAUUUAAUCAAAUUUAUACAUGUUGACCAUUUUACCCUUAGGUAUAGGAUUUCUGAUUUUGGCAUGAUCCCUUAGCUUAGAGUUUACUUAGAACCAUUUGAUCCAAUUAACUGAUUAAUCAUUAAAUUGUUGUACAUAGCAUAUCUAAUUUCUUUUAAUCCCACUGAUUAAUAUUGACUAAAGGUCACUUUGGUCAACCAAAUCCUUUGUAUUGUGCUGUAAUCCCCCAAGCCUAUUCAAGUUAUCAAAAGACCCUUGAUCACUUGAUAUGGCAAGACCAUUGUGCUUAAGUUGUAUUGGAUAUGCUAAAUCUCAGGAACUCAAGAUCUCGAGGUUCAAAUCCAAGAUCAAGACUUUAAAGUCAAUGUCAGUCAAGCACAACUAACAAAGUUGACUACUUCUCAAGCACAUCAAAGGUCAACACUUGUCAAUCAUCAUUCAGAUUCUGUGACACGGGCCUUAAGAAAUAGAGAAUAAAUGAGAGUGGAGAAUUCCAUUAACUCAUUCUGGAUAUCUUUGGGUGCGGCACGAAUGACCCAAUUGCUCAUCGUAUUCACCUUUAUUCAUAGACUUUAGCAUAAUUUAAAUCAAAUGAAUGUCAAGUAUUCUUCUACGAAAAGUAGCAUUGCACCAUCAUGAUCAACACCCAGGAUCUCCUAUCAGCAACUUGCCAAUUCUGAUUCAAAGUUGUACGCCAUGAGCCUUAAGAAACAAAGAAUGAUGAGAGUGGAGAAUUCCUAUCCUUGUUUAGGGUAUCCUUGGGCACGAGAGGAAUGGUCUGGUUUCUCAAGGUAUUUGCCUUUGUUCAUAGACUUUAGUGCAAUUUGAAUCAUACAAUUGACAAGCCUCCUUCAAGCAAGCAUCAAUUAUUCAACACUUCAAUAAUGGAGCAUUGUUGCUAUCAGCACCUUGUGGUUGUACACCCUUUUUCAAUCAAUUCAAUCCUCUUUUUCCUGUUAGGUUUUGGACCUUGGAAAACUUUUCUUGCCUGUUAGGUUUUGGACCUUGGUAAUCCUUCUUGCCUGUUAGGUUUUGGACCUUGGCAAUCUUUCUUGCCUUUAAGGUAAUAGACCUUGGCAACUUGAUCUUACCCCUUGAGAUGGUGGACCUUGGCAAGCUCUUUUUGUGCCUAUGGAGUUAUAGACUUUGGCACUUGGUUAUAUUCCUUGACAAUCCCUUUGAUUAGCCUUGUAGAGUUAUGGACUCUUAGGAAUCCCCUUGCCUAUCAGGUUAUGGACCUUGGAAAUGCUUUCCUUUUCCCUGAGAGUUGGACUCUAGCAUCCUUUCUCUCUGCCUUUUAGGUUGUAGACCUUGGUAGCUCAGUUCCUUCCCAUUAUAAGUUAUAGACUCUAGUAGUGAUUCCUUGUCUAGCAAGUUGUGAACCUGGGCACUCCUUUUUCUGCAUCGAAGGGUUGUAUACCUUGCCAAUCAAUAUAUCACUUCUCUUGCCACAGUCUCUUGCUGUUAGCCCUAGUGGGCUAAACUACAAAAGUUAUGACUUUCUCAUUGCACGGUGAGAAUAUGUAGGCACGAGAAUUCAGAUUCUCCGCGGGUUACCCUAUUUAUUACUACCUUAUUUAUUUCCACCUCAGUUUUUCUUCAUUCAUCAAUCAAUACUAUCUUCUUGAGAUCAAAUACAAUUCCUCCUUGGAUUGCAUGCACAUCCUUUUAGGACAAUAUAACGGCAGUCCACCCUAUGAAUCAAGAGAUGUUUGGCAACAAAACCAAACACGUCAUUCCUUCUUUUUUUUGGCUAAGACGCUUGUUCACUCUUAGGUUUGAAGAUUAUUCCUUCAUGGAUCCAAUAUACCAUUCUUCUUUGAUUUCAAAUUGUUUUUUCCGUACUGUGAUAUAUUAUUCACUGUACUAAACAACACUGCAGCCAACCCUUGAAGUUGUGUUUGUCUUAUAAGUCCCUAUUGCUUAGGAAAACACCUCUCUCUUUGUUUCCACUGCAGUUAGCCCUUGGAAUCGUGUUUGUCUUAUAAGUCCCUAUAGCUUAGGCAAACAUACUUUUGUGUCCAUCAUUCUGUUGGUACAAGUUAUACUUUUUAUAACUUCCUUAUCUCUCUUCUUUGUUCUCGUGGUUCCAUGAACUACGAGUGCUCCGACUCUCUCAUUUCACAAUGAGAAUACUUAGGCACAAGGCUUUGAAUCCUUGACGAGCACAAUCCUAAUUAUUUUUAUGGCCUUAGGGCACCACUUAUAUCUUUCAUGAACUAUUAUCUACCUUCAACCAUUGAACCAUCCAUUCCACGUGAUAUGUUGUUAUCUUUGAGCCAAAUACACUAUCUCUUUGAGCUCUAUCUUGUGUCAGCUUGUGAACCAAGAGUUGCUUGUGAUAUGAAACCAAACACUUAAUUCUCUUUGUUUUCAGCCAUACCAUAAGUGGCACCACGCUCUGGCUACCCCCACAUAUGGUUCACACUAAUUUUACUCUUGGGUUCAGAUUUCAUCCCUUUUUGGAGGUCAAAUCAUGUAAUCCUUUGGUUCAGACCAUACCUUGAUCACACCUUCUUUUCAUCUCCCAUCAUUAGUUCCAUUAACUAUGAAGCACUGAAUUCCUUAUUGCAUUAUAAGGAUACGUAGGCAUGAGGACUCUAAUCCUCAUCGAGCAUUCUAUCUAUUCUCUUCUUUCCCCUUAUCCUUUCACGGGUAAUCUUUAGAUAUAACACCCAUUCGAGCAAGAAUAAUCAACAUAACUCCCAUGGAGUACCAUGGAUGUUAGAGGUGUUAAUACCUUCCCCUUGUAUAACCGACUUCCUUACCCAGAUUUCUCUUUCUCUGGGUUUAUCGAUGUUUUCCCUUUCCUUCGGGAAUAAAUAAAGUUCGAUGGUGACUCUGUUGUAUGUUCAAGCGUAUGAUACGUUCGGAUAUAUUUUCGCUAUCUUUAGUAGGAAAAUAUGUUGUAUUUCCUAUUUCUUUUGGGGCUAACUCUUGUCGUAUACCCAUCACCACCAUAUCUGGACAAAUUUUAUUACUAUAUUUUGUAUUUCCUUUAAUGUUUAAAAGUGUUCCAAUCAAACUAUCACACACAUUUUUUUCCACAUGCAUCACAUCAAGAUAAUGUCUUAUAUCGAUGUUAGACCAUUAUGGAAGAUCAAAGAACACCAAACUCUUUUUCCAAAUACUUUUAUCCACAUGUUCUUUUUGGUUCUUUCUAAAUACAACAUUAUUAUGUUGUUGUAUUUUAUAAAAUUCCUCCCUGGUUAAGGGCUUUGGAGCGAUAACAAACUCUUGCUUUCCAUUAAAAGCCUUCCAUAAUCUAUGAUAUGGAUGAUUGGAUCUUAGAAAUUUUAUAUGCCCAAAGGUAAACAAUAUUUCUUCCAUUUUGUAGUUGGUGGGAGAAUUUAUCAUCUUAACAUAUAAGACACAUUUUAUGUCCCUUAACGUUGUAUUUAGAAAAAUUAAUGUAUGCAAGAAAGUCAUUGAUUGUGCAAAACAACAUGACACAUAUCUUAAAAUUAUCACUCGUAUACGCAUCAUUAACAUUAACGUCUUCCUCCCACAAAACUCUUAAAUCUUCAAUCAAUGGAGUUAAAUAAACAUAUAUGUCGUUUCUUGAUUAUUUUAGACCCGAAAUCAUAAUUGAUAAUAUCAUAUAUUUAUGCUUCAUUCACAACUACAAAGAUACGUUGUAAAUUAUGAGAAGAAUGAACAAUGAAGUAUGGUUAGUACUCAUAUUACAAAACAAGUUCAUUUUGUCGGUGGCAAGUCCAAGCCUAAUGUUCCUUGGCUCAAGGGCAAAGUCCAAAAACAACGCCUCGAUUUUCUUCCAUUGCAAUGAAUCACCUACAUGGAGAAUUUUUCCAUCAAAUAUUAUUUCACCUGCAUGUCAUCUAGUAUUAUUUGUGUCACUUACAUUAGCAAACAAUCUCUUGAACCUUUGAAUUAUUGAUAGGUGUAACACCCUAAACCCUAAACGCUUAUUUUAUAAAAACAUGCAGAUAAUUUACUCAACAACACAGUGUCACGUUUUCUCGGCAUAAAACAACUUUAUAAAUCAUCAUAUUAUAGAAGCAGAAAUAAAUUAAUAAUAACUCAACUUUAAUUAUCUCAUUAAUCAAAAUUAACUUCAUUUUAACAUAUAAAGGAAAUAGUUCAACAACUCUCAAAAACACAAAAUAGAAAGGUAACACAUUCCAAUGUUACACUAUUAGAGUGACACACAAAUACUCAAAGAACUAAAAAUCAAUAAGUGACAAAGAAGGCUACUACACCAUCCUCUAAAACAUAAAAACAACCAAGGCUCUUCUACCUGAGUAUCUGCACCACAUGCAUAAAGAAUAACACAAACAAACUAGAUAGGGGUGAGAAAUACAUUCAUAUAUGUAGUGGUGCAUAAAACAUAAAGGAUAGUUCAAAUAAUAUCACUCAUUAAUCACAUAAAUCAUCCAUAAUAAUAAUCAAUCACAAUACAGUUAUGUAUGCAAUGUAUUUUAAAUCCUCUACUCUAAUGCACGUGGUACCAAGGUUUUUGGAUAUCAUAAGUAUGUUACUGAUUAAUCCACUCGGCACUAGUUUCAUCUUUGAACCUGAUUCCAUCUCUGAACCAUCAUACUCGUUACAGGUACCAUCUGUGAACCUGAGACUCGUCACUAGACCAAAGUUUGUCAUCAUCAUACUCGUCACAUGUUCCAUCUUUGAACCUGAGACGCGUCACUAGACCGAAGUCCAUCACCUAUCUAUGAUAUACAUGAUGCAUGAAUGCAACAAAAAAAAAUGCAAUACUCGUCUCAAACCUUCAACUUCCAUACUCAUUAUCGGUUCCUCUUUGAACCUGAACUCAACAUGAACAUCGUUUAUAUAAGGUCACACAUUGGUUCCUCUCUAAACCAAACAUCCCAUCACAACUCAACAAGUUUUAUCAUAAUUCAGCAUAAUAAUUAAACUAUAUAAUUUCUUGAGAAUGCUCACCAACAACAUCAAAACAACAUCAGACAACCAUUAACAUUCGACAAGGCAUACUCAUAACACAACAGAGCUCACAAUUAACUCUAACAACUUUUACUCAUAGGUUAAGAGUCACGAGACAUAUUCUAACCUUAACUCAAUUACUCCUCAAAUCAACUCUAAACAUAUCUGAUGACUCAAACUUAACUCAUUUAAUUUAACACAACUCUAAACAUAUAAAAUAACUUAAAACUCAACUCAUUUAAUUUACAUAUCAUCUUAUCAAAACAACCCAAAAAUCAUCUUUCCUGCUAGUCAUACAUCAAAUUCUAAUAAAUAUUUAAAAUAUCAAAUGAAGUCGGAAUCAAGCAAAUGGAUAUGUUUUACAAAGCUUAGAGUGUCUAUUUUAAUACUAUGAUUUUAUUUAAAGACUAAAGAUCUCAAUUGGUACAGUUUAAUCAAACAAUAGGAACUGCCGCAGGCACUAGAUAAAAUGUUUCUUCAGACUUGGAACUAGUAUUUCUCCUACUAAACAUAAUUAAAUGAUAUACUUAUUAAGUCUAAUGUAUAUUAAAUUUUAUCUAUUUUCUUAUGAUAUAAAUUUUACUCUUAAAGAACUUAUGAAAAUUGAGUUAUGCGUGAAAGAAGACAACCAACGCAUGACUAAAAUUUGACUACGCGCAUGGUAUUAAAAAAAUAGAAAACUGCUACUGUCGUAAAGCUCUCAAGCCCAAUUCUCCACUUCAAAAUAAAGUUUAUCGCGUUAUUUUUCUAAUGCAACUGAACGCACCUCAAACGGACUUACGAAACUCAAGUUACGCAUGAAAUAAGGUGGACAAUCCCCUUUUAUGUCUACCUGUGAUUUCUCCGAUUCUUCCCCAUUAAAACAUACCCAAAACUCCAUUAUUCGAGUUCCAACAGUCUUAAAACACAUAACAACUCAUAGUACUUGAAUCAUACGGUAGUUACCAAAUUAAAACACCAAAUUAACACUAUCACAUCAAUCCAUCAUAUUUUUUCAUUAACACACAAUAUAAGCAUAUGUACAAUAACAUCUUCAAUUUCACUAUGGAAUAUAAUCAUACGAAAUUCAUGUCAAAAACAAUAACUAAGCACGAUUAAUAUAACCAAAAUGGAAACACAUCAAUCUAAUUGUUGAGGUUUUGUAUAAACCUCACAUAAUUCAAGCCCUCAUCAAAUGAGGAAGAGGAAAAAGGGAAAAAGAAAAGAGGUGAAGGAUCCCUCAAUAUCCUACAUGCGCUUUAACACCCAUAGUAUAAGGCUUAUGCUCUUGCAACAUAUCAGGCUUAUGCUCUUGCACUCAACAACAUGAGGACCUAUAUCUCCACACUUGAAACAUCUUAGAGAAACAGAAACUCUUCCCCCCACUCAGCUCACUUCCACCUGCAUCCUUCUACUAGAACUUCUUAUUCCCUUUAGCAACUGGAGUCACAUAUGGCUUACCACAAUCCUGACUCCCAUUCUUCUUCUCACUCACACUCUUGUAGUGAACAAACUUGACUCUAUUAUCCUCAUCAUAAACUCUGCAUUUGUUCACCAACAUUGAGAAACGAAGGAUCUCCCGAUAGCCUAUGAACUACUUGAUCUUAGGACGUAAUCCACUCUCAAACUUCAAACACUUAGAAUCCUCAACUUCCACACCAUUAUAAUUAAGACAAAAUCUUGAUAGCUCCUCAAACUUAGCUGCAUAGUCAGCCAUAAUCAUAUUCCUUUGCUUCAGUUCAAAGAACUUUAUCUCUUUGCGGAUAUGAACAUCAGUUGUAAAAUACUUGUCCAAAAACUCAUUCUUGAAAUUAGCCCAAGUAUUUUGUGCAUUAGCAGCUUCCAUCCUCUAACAUGUACUCUCCCACCAAUAGUCAACUUCCUCAGACAACAUAUGCAUUAUGACUAACACCUUUUGCGCAUGAGUGCAUGCCAUAACUCUAAAAAUCUUCUCAAUCUCCUAAGGCCAAGCCUGAGCACCUUCAAGAUCAUACCUCCCCUUAAAUGUAAGUGGAUUGUUAUUUUGGAAAUUUCCGAACCCACAAAAUUCAUCAUCUCUACCAUUCUGAUUCUGAUUAGCAUGCAAAACUUCAUUUUCUUGUGCCAUCACAUGAAUCAUCGUCUAAAGAGCAUCAACAAUCACAUGAUCUUUCGUGCCAGCCACGUCUUUCUGUACAACCAGUCAAAACAAGUUAAUCAAUUGUAAAUAGUAAAGCAAUUAGCUACUACAGGAAAGCAACAUCAACGAUGUUAACACAAAUGUUAUGCACAAGGGUCUAUACAAAUUCACAAAACCUAGGCCGAAUGAGUCGACUUGCUCUGAUACCAACUAUGUAACACCCUAAACAACAAACACUUAUUUUAUAAAAAACAUGCGGAUAGUUUACUUAACAACAAGGUGUCACAUUUUCUCAACAUAAAACAAUUUUCUCAAUCAUCAUAUUAUAGUAGCGGAAAUAAAUUAAUAAUAACUCAACUUUAAUUGUCUCAAUAAUCAAAAUAAACUUCAUUUUAACAUACAAAGGAAAUAGUUUAACAACUCUCAGAAACACAAAACAAAAAGGUAACCAAUCUCAAUGUUAAACUAUCAGAGCGACACACAGAAACUAAAAGAAUUAAAAAGCAAUAAGUGACAAAGAAGGCUAAUAUGCCAUCCUCUAAAACACAAUAGCAUCCAAGGCUCCUUUACUUGAGUAUUUGCACCACAGGCGUUAAGAACAACACAACCAAAACAAACAGGGUGAGAAAUACAUUCAUAUAUGUAAUGAUGCAUAAAAUAACAAGGAUGGUUCAAAUAAUAUCACUCAUCAAUUACACAAAUCAUCCACAAUAAUAGUCAAUCACUAUACGGUUAUACAUGCAAUGUAUCUCAACUCCUUUACUCCAAUGCACAUGGUACCAAUUUUUUCAAUAAAAGAGGUAUGUUACUGAUUAAUCCACUCGUCAUUGGUUUCAUCUCUGAAUCUGGUUCCAUCUCUGAACCAUUAGACUCAUCACAUGUUCCAUCUUUAAACCCCAAGACUCGUCACUGGACCGAAGUCUGUCACCAUCAGACUCGUCAUGGAUUCCAUCUCUGAACCUGCAACUCGUCAUUGAACCGAAGUCCAUCACCAUCAGACUCAUCGCAGGUUCCAUCUCUGAAUCUGAGACUCGUCACUAGACUGAAGUCUGUCACCUAUCUUUGAUAUACAUGAUGCACGAAUGCAACAAACAAAUGCAAUACUCGUCUCAAACCUCCAUCUUCCAUACUCAUUAUUGGUUCCUCUCUGAACCUGAACUCAACAUGAACAUCGCUAAUAUAAGGCCACACAUUUGUUCCUCUAUGAACUAAACAUCUCACCACAACUCAACAAUUUCAUCAUAACUCAGCAUAAUAAUUAAAUUAUAUAAUUUCUCGACAAUGCUCAUAACAAAAUCAAAACAACAUCAGACAACCAUCAACAUUCAUCAAAUCAUACUCAUAACACAACAUAGCUCACAAUUAACUCUAACAACUUUUACUCAUAAGUUAAGAGUCAUCGGGCAUAUUUAACUCUAUUAUUCAUCAACUCAACUCUAAACAUAUCAAAUGACUCAAACUCAACUAAUUUAAUUCAACACAACUCUAAACAUAUAAAACCCAACUUUAAAUAUAUCAAAUAACUCAAAACUCAACUCAUUUAAUUCGCAUAACAUCUUAUUAAAACAAUCCAAAAAUCAUGUUUCUUGGUAGUAAUACAUCAUAUUUGAAUAAUUAAUUAAAAUAUCAAACAGAGUCAAAAUCAAGAAAAUGAAUAUGUUUAUGAAAGCUUAUAGUGUCUAUUUUAAUACUAUGAUUUUUAUUUUAAGACUUAAGAUCUCAAUUGGUACAGUUUAAUCAAACAAUAGGAACAUGUGCAGACACAGGACAAAAUGUUUCGUCAGACUUGAAACUAGUAUUUCUUCUAAUGUACAUAAUGAAAUGAGAUAUUUAUAUGUAUGAAAUUUUUCCCAUUUUCUUAUGAUAUUAAUUUUACUCUUAAAGCACUUACAUAAAUUAAGUUAUGCGUGAAAGAAGACAACCAACGCAGGACUAAAAUUUGAUUACGUAUCUGGUAUUAAAAAAUAGAUAACUGCUACUGUUGUAACGCUCCCAAGGCCAAUUUUCCCACUUCAAAAUAAAGUUUAUCGCGUUAUUUUUCUAAUGCAACUGAACGCACCUCAAACAGACUUACAAAACUCAAGUUAUGCAUGAAACAACACGGUCAAUCCCCUUCUCUAUCUACCUGCGAUUUUUCUCUGAUUUCUAUAUUUCUUCCUCAUUGAAAGAGACCCAAAAAUCCAUUAUUUGAGUUCCAACAGUCCCAAAACACAUAACAACUCAUAGUACUUGAAUCAUACGGUAAUUAACACAUUAAACUACCAAAUUAAUAUUAUCACAUCAAUCCAUCAUGCUUUUUCAUCAACAUACAAUAUAUGCAUAUGAACAAUAACAUCUUCAAUUUCAUCAUGACAUAUAAUCAUACGAAACUCAUGUCAACAACAACAACAACUAAGAAUGAUUAAUACAACCAAAAUAGAAACACAUCUCUAAUUAUUGAGGUUUUACAUAAAUCUCACACAAUUCAAGCCCUUAUCAAUUGAGGAAGAGGAAAAAGGGAAACAAAAAUGAUGAGAAGGAUUCCUCUCUAUCCUACAUGCUUUUAACACCUAUAGCAUGAACAUUUACCCCCUACUUCAAAUUUGCAGCAAAGGUUGAAUCUUUUGAUAAUGGAAGCUCUUUUCUUCUCAUAGGACUCUCUCUGACUCUGCUGACAACUACUUCUCAUAACACAAACCCUAACUCUAGUUCUCUUAUCUAUUUAAAUAAAACCCUACUGAUUUUAUUAAUUCACUAACUCCCCUUAAUUCUCACUAAUUCCACCAUUUUCCUCAAUUUCAAUUAAAAUUCCACUUUCCUCCCCAAAACUCAAUUUCUCAUUAUUUUUAUUAUUUAAAUAAUUAAAAGUUAGUGAUAAUUCUAAUAAAUUCUACCAAACCUCAAUAAUACCAGUAAAAUAAAUAUAGAACUAAAAUAAAAUCAUAUAGAUCUUUUUAAACUCAAUUAAAAUAAAAUAAACGAAAAACCAGGAUGUUACUCCCCCCCCCCCAUUUUACAAAAUUUCCGCCCUCGAAGAUUUCCUGAUAAAAACAACUAUGGAUAAGACUCCUUCAUAUGAUUCUCUAACUCCCACGUCAUGCCACCCCUAUCGAUGACCGUAAAGAAAGAAAUACCAAUUGUGAGACAUGUACCUUGAUUCAAUUAUCAUGUCUAGAGGUUUCCUCACCACUCAGAGCAAAGACCUUCCCACUAGCUCGCACGACCUCUAGCUCUUUCCUCGGCUUCUGACAAUGAGUACAUAUAUGACAUGGUUCUCCACAGUUGAAACAAGUCAAAACUGCACUCUUGCAAUCAGUGACAUGAUAUCCCUACUUCCCACACUUGAAACAUAUCAGGCAUGUCCUAUGGCACUCAGUAACAUGAUGACCUAACUAUCCACACUUGAAACAUCUUAGAGAAGCAGAAACUCCUCCCUCACUCGGUUCACUUCCACCUGCAAUCUUUUGCUAGAAUUUAUGAUUCCCUUUAUCAACUAGAGUCACAUAUGGCUUACCAUGAUUUUGACUCUCAUUAUUCUUCUCAAUCAUACUCUUGUAGUAAACAUGCCUGACUUUAUUAUCCUCAUCAUAAAUUCUGCAUUUGUUCACUACCACUGAGAAACGAAGGAUCUCCUGAUAGCCUAUGAACUACUUGAUCUCAGGACGUAAGCCACUCUCAAACUUCACACACUUAGAACCCCCAGGUUCCACACCAUUAUAGUUAAGACAAAAUCUUGACAGCUUCUUAAAAUUAGCAGCAUAGUCCGCCACAUUCAUAUUCCUUUGCUUCAGUUCAAAGAACUAUAUGUCUUUGUGGCUACGAACACCAAAUAUAAAAUACUUGUCUAGAAACUCAUUCUUGAAAUUAGCCCAAGUAAUUUCCUCAUUAGCAACUUCCACCCUUUGAUAGUUACUCUACCACCAAUACUCAACUUCCUCAUACAGUGUAUACUUUCCUAACAACACCUUAUGCACAUUAGUGCAUGCCAUAACUCUGAGAAUUUUCUCAAUCUCCUAAAGCCAAGCCAUAGAACCUUUAGAAUCAUAAACCCCCUUGCAUGUAUGUGGACUAUUCUUCUGGAUAUUUCCAAGCCCACGAAACUCAUCAGCUUCACCAUUUUGAUUCUGAUUAGCAUGCAACACUUCAUUCACUAGAGCUAUCACAUGAGUCAUCCCCUCAAGAGAAUUAACAAUCACACAAUCGAUCCCGCCAGCCACUUCUUUAUGUACAACUAGUCAAAACAAGUUAAUCAAUUAUAAACAAUAAAGCAAUUAGCUACUACAAGAAAGCAACACCAACAGUGUCAACGCGCAUAUUAUGAACAUCAGUAUACACAAAUUCAUAAAACCCAGGCCGAAUGAACCGAUAUGCUGUGAUACUAACUAUGUAACACCCUAAGCCCUAAAUACUUAUUUUAUAAAAAACACGCAGAUAGUUUACUCAACAACAGGGUAUCACAUUUUCUCAACAUGAAACAACUUUCUCAAUUAUCAUAUUAUAGCAAUAGAAAUAAAUUAAUAAUAACUCAACCUUAAUUGUCUCAAUAAUCAAAAUAAACCUCAUUUUAACAUAUAAAGGAAAUAAUUUAACAAAUCUCAGAAACACAAAACAAAAAGGUAACCAAUCUCAAUGUUAAACUAUCAGAGUGACAUACAGAAACUAAAGGAAUUAAAAAUCAAUAAGUGACAAAGAAGUCUAAUAUGCCAUCCUCUAAAAUACAACAACAUCCAAGGCUCCUUUACUUUAGUAUCUGCACCACAGACGUUAAGAACAACACAAACAAAACAAACAGGGUAAGAAAUACAUUCAUAUAUGUAAUGAUACAUAAAACAACAAGGAUGGUUCAAAUAAUAUCACUCAUCAAUUACACAAAUCACCCACAACAAUACUUAAUCACAAUAAGGUUAUGUAUGUAAUGUAUCUUAACUCCUCUACUCCAAUGCAUGUAGUACCAAUGUUUUCAUAUAUUAGAGGUAUGUUACUGACAAAUCCACUCGUCACAGGUUCCAUAUCUGAACUUGAGACUCGUCACUAGACUAAAGUCUGUCAUCUAUCUUCGAUAUCCAUGAUGCAUGAAUGCAACAAAUAAACGCAAUACUCGUCUCAAACCUCCAACUUCCAUACUCAUUAUCGGUUCCUCUAUGAACCUAAACUCAACAUGAAGAUCGCCAAUAUAAGGCCAUACAUUUGUUCCUCUCUGAACCAAACAUCCCAUCAUAACUCAACAAUUUCAUCAUAACUCAGCAUAAUAAUUAAAUUAUAUAAUUUCUCGACAAUUCUCAUCAACGAUAUCCAAACAAUAUCAUAUAACCAUCAACAAUAAGUAAGGCAUACUCAUAACACAACAGAGCUCACAAUUAACUCUAACAACUUUUUCUCAUAGGUUAAGAGUCAUCAGACAUAUUCUAACCUUAACUCAAUUACUCGUCAACUCAACUCUGAACAUAUCAUAUGACUCAAUCUUAACUCAUUUAAUUCAACAAAACUCUAAACCUAUCAAACUCGGCUCUAAACAUAUCAAAUAACUCAAAACUCAACUCAUUUAAUUCACAUAGCAUCUUAUCAAAACAACCCAAAAAUUCCUACUAGUUAUACAUCAUCUUUGAAUAAUUAUUUAAAAUAUCAAAUGGAGUAAGAAUCAAGUAAAUGAAUAUGUUUAUAAAAUCUUAGAGUGUCUAUUUUAAGACUAUGAUUUUUAUUUUAAGACUUAAGAUCUCAAUUAUUACAGUUUAAUAAAAUAAUAGGAACGGGUGCAGACACUGGACAUAAUGUUUUGCCAUACUUGUAACUAGUAUUUCUCUUACUAAAAUUAAUGAAAUGAGACACUUAUUAAUUCUAAAAUGUAGAUUUUUUCCUGUUUUUUAUGAUAUAAAUAUUACUCUUAAAUGAUUUACGAAAGUCAAGUUAUGCGUGAGACAAGACAACCAACACAUGACUGAAAUUUGACUAUGCUUCUGGUAUAAAAAAAAACAGAUAAUGACUACAAAACUGCUAUUGUUGUAGUGCUUCCAAAUCCAAUUUCCCCACUUUAAAAUAAAUUCUACCUUGUUAUCUUUUUAAAGCAACUGACCUCACCUCAAACAGAUUUAUGAAACUCAAGUUACACAUGAAACAAGGUGUUCAACCCCCUUCUAUGUCGAUCUGUGAUUUUCUGCGAUUUCUCUGAUUCUUUCCUAUUGAAACAGACCCAAAACUCCAUUAUUUGAGUUCCAAAAGUCUUAAAACACAUAACAACUCAUAAUACGAAUCAUAUGGUAAUUAACACAUCAAAACAUUUAACUAACACAAUCACGUCAAUCCAUCAUGCAUUUUCAUCAACAUACAACAAAAGCAUAUGAACAACAACAUCUUCAAAUUCAUCAUGAGAUAUAAUCAUACGAAAUUCAUGUCAACAACAACAACUAAACACGAUUAAUACAACCAAAAUAGAAACACAUCAAUCUAAUUGUAGAGAUUUCGCAUAAACCUCACACAAUUCAAUCCUCCGUCAAUGGAGAAAAACGAAAAAGGGAAAAAGAAAAGAUAAGAAGGAUUCCUCUCUAUCCUACAUGCUUUAACACCUAUAGUAUGAACAAUUACCCCUAUCUUGAAUUUGCAGCAAAUGUUAAAGCUUUUGACAAUGGAAGCUCUUUUCUCAUACCUCUUGCUCUCAUAGGGCUUUCUCUGACUCUGCUGACAACUAUUUCUCACAAUAACAACCCAAACUCUAAUUCUUUUAUCUAUUUAAUUAAAAAACUACUAAUUGUUAAUUAACUAACUCCCUUUAAUUCUUACUAAUUCUACCAUUUCCUCAAUUUUAAUUAAAAUUCUACUUUCCUCCUUAAAGCUAAAUUUCUCAUUAUUUCGAUUAUUUAAAUAUUUAAAAAUUAGUGAUAAUUCUAAUAAAACUCUAUCAACCUCAAUAAUACCAAUAAAAUAAACAUAUCACUCAAAUAAAAUAAUAUAAAUAAUUUAAAACUCAAUUAAAAUAAAAUAAAAUAAAAAACUCGAAUAUUACAGUAGGUACUACAUCAUCUUGACAGAAACACCCUUUCUAGUUACACCAUCAUCAUCUCCAACACCACAUUCAUUUAGCUUGUAGCAUGACUCCCUACGUCUUGCACACUCCUUCCAGUUUUCAUACUUUUUCAUUACGACAUGUAUGUAUUGUUACAUAGUCCAAACUUAUUGGAAAAAAUAUCUUAUUAGCCUCAUAACUACAAUUCAACAUUGUGUUACCUUAUAGAAGCAUUUCUAGCAAUAAUUCAAGCAAUUAAGUGGAACUUUUAUCCAAUCAUCCACUUUUUGCUUUAAGAAUAAAUAGUCUUAACACAACUGACAAUAUCUUAAAAUUUAUGCAUCCUAGAAAUAACAACUCUUCCAUGUUAUUAUGUAAAAUAUCAUACACAUAGACUUUAUUAAAAGAAUAUACUUCAAUAUCAUUGCUCAUAUCUUCUAGAUUAUCAUCCAUAUCUUUAUCAACUUCAUUUCUAUGUGACAUAAGUCUUUUUUUAUCACUUCACCAUGCCACGCCUAUUUCAUAUAAUUUUGAAUAAUUUCAUCAUAACCUAAAUGAUCGAAUAUUUCUUUCUUUGAAUGUUUUUGAGUAUUUCGGUAUUUUUUACAAGGACAAUAAAAAAUCCCACUAUCGUCAAGAAGAUUUAUUUUUGCGAAUUCAAUAAUUUGAACCAUUUCAUUCUCAUAUGUUUUACUUAAUCUAUUGACUUUCAUCCAACUACGAUCCAUAAUCACAUACCUUUUAAAAAUAAAAUAAAAACCAUACAUAACCAACAACAAUGAAUAUUCCAUCUUAACAAAACAAACUAAACUUUCAAUCUCAACACAACUACAAAUACUACAAAAACAACAACAAUAACAACAACAAAACAAUAUUACUGGUACAAUCAUGGAGAAAGUUUUGCAUACCUGAAACAUAAUGAGAGAGUCAAAGAAAUAUGAUGGUUUGAGGUCCGAUAUUCCUUAUUCGAGCUCCUUUCCUCAUUUGUUUAAUUUGAUUGACUUAGCGAAGAUGAAGAAUGGUGUUUCAUUCGUUAGGUGGAAAAGUUGAAGAAUGAUGUUUUGUUCGUUUGCUAGGUCACAAUAAGUUUAUGAGAAAUGAAAAAGUGCAGGAGCUGGGAAUCAAAGAGAAAAGACAAUUUGUAUUGUAAUUAAAAAAUUAAAUUAAAUAAGGGCGCCGUUUUGGCUAUAAAUAAAACGCUCAAAUGUAGGAGCUGGGAAUCUAAGCUCAAAAUCUUGAGCGACAUUUUCUGUCGGUUGAACCAAAAUUCAAGGAAAUAAAGUUCUGUACUGUAAUCAAAGAAUUAAACAAAAUAAGGGCACAAUUUUGGUUCUAAAUAAAACACAAAAUUGCAAGAGCUAGGAAUAGAAGCUCAAACCAUGAGCGACAUUUCUUGUUAGUUUAACCAAAAAACCGAGGAAAUAAAUUUAAUUUUUAUAAAAAAAAUAAUCGAAAGGUCGCGCUCUAAGGCAUUUGAACUCAGUUUUUAUUUGGCUAAGGUGAUUUUUUUAUCAUGAAAUGUAUUAUCUAUAGUAGUGAAUGAAGUUAAGACCCCUAUUUAUAGCUUCAAAAUCAGGUCCCUCGCUAGGUGCACCACCCAUCCUUUCCUAACAAGCUUGUUAUCUUCUAGGUUAAACAAUGUUAGUUGUCUGACAGUUGGUGAUAGCCGCCUUAGUUUGCUAGGCGCACUGUCCAUUCGCUUAGUCAAUAACCCCUUUAUUCACCAUGAAGUACUUUAGCCUUGAAGUUCCAUAUGGCUUCCCGAGCUUGCUAGGUGAGCCUAUGAUCAUGGCUUAGCGAUCCUUGCUUUGCAGAGAAUUUCUCUCGCUUGGUCUUUGUGUCCUAAAUAAUAUUUUUCCAGACAUUUUUACCCGUUUUUAGUUAAUACAUGCUAGGAAAGUCCAAACAUGUGUUUUUAUCACUUUUUAUAGACAAAUUGAGGGGAAGGGGUUUGUAUUGAUUGCUUGUAAAAUAAGUUUAUAAAUGCCUACAUAUUUUACGUAAAUAUGGAACUUAUCAGUCGCCUGUGCUUGUUAAACGCGUGUAUGAUCUUGGCUUAGCGAGCUUUGCUUGUAGGAAAGUGUAUUGUCAAGGUCUUUGUGUGUUGCUUGGUUGUUUUCCAAUCCCUUUUAACUAUUUUUAGUUAAUGUGCAGUUAAAAAGCCUAAACAUGUGUUUUUAUCACUUUUCAUUGAUAAAUCAGGAUUUUUUUUCUAUUAAUUACGUGUAAAAUAAGUUAAUAAGCACCUACAUAUUUUACAUAAUUUUGUCACUUAUCACAACACUUUCUUGGGCUCGAAGGAGAUGUUGAACUCGAAUAUUUAGAUAGACUAUUUCGUCAAUUGUUCAACUAGGUUCGACUAGUGAAAACUUGUAUUAAAGGAAGAUCAAUGAGAAUAACAAUGGCAUGGGCUAAGAAGUAACAUCAAAACUUGCUUGAUGCAGUCACUAAUGCCAAUAAUGCUUUCCCUAUCUUCUAGUAGCGUGCUCCAGGUCCAGUUAAUGCUUUAGAUAUAAAAUACACCGACCUUUAAGUGGAAUCUACCUUUUGGAUGAGGAGACGACCAGAUAAAAAAACAAAACUUCCCAUGUGAUCAGCACAAACAAAACCGCUGGGGUUAACAAGGCUACUUUUAGAGACAUGAAUGCUUGUUUACACUCUAUGGUCUACUCAAAGUAGGUUUCUUUCUUUAAUAACUUGUAAAACAGUAAUGCGUGUUGGGCUAACUUGGAUAUAAAUUUGUUCAGGGUGGUUAGUAUCCCAUUAAGUUUAUCACCUUUUUCUUCGUCGUUGGGUCUUUCAUCUUGAUGAAUACUUCACACUUAUCCAAAUUCAACUCUAUGCAUCUCUCUAUCAGGUAAAAGCCUAGGAAUUUUCUGACUUUGACUAUGAAGGUACAUUUAUUAGAAUUUGAGCUUGAUACCACAUUGUCAGAUCCUCCGGAACACAUUUUCUAGGCGUUACUUGUGCAACUCAUCACUGCCAAACUUAAUGAUUAUGUCAUCCGGAUAGACUCCUAAUUUUUCUCCUAUAUCUCCCAUGAAGAUUUUAUUCAUCAUUUUCUGGAAUGGUUCCCUCGCAUUCUUUAGACCAAAAGGCAUGAAGUUGUACCAAUAGUUGGCUCAUUUUGUCAUGAAGGCUCUAUUGUCUCUAUCUGCCUCAAACAUAGAUAUCUGGUUGUAGUUGGAGUAUGCAUCCAUGAAUGAUAUCAUCUUUUAAUAUGCUAAAUUGUCUACUAACUUCACCGUGUUUGAGAGUGGGUAGGAAUAUUAAAGAUAUGCUUGGUUGAGAUUAGUGUAAUCAACACACAUUUUUCAUUUUCCUAAAGCUUUCUUGACCAACACGACAUUCGACAACCAUUCAAUUUAUCUUACCUUAGAGAUAAAUUUAUCCUCCAACAGGCUCUAGACUGUCUUCUCGGUUGCUUCAGUUUUCUUGGGAGAUUAUCUCCUCAUUCAUUGAGCCACAUAGCGUAUAGAAGGGUUAAUAUCCAACUAGUGACAAGACACAAUAGACUCUACGUUGAACAUCUGUAACGAGGUUGGCGUUAGCUUUGAGGCCCUUAGUGCUAUUUCUUCACCAUGGUCGGUAACUCAUCCCCUAUGCGGAUCAACUAUGUUAGAUUAUCGUCUAGCUGAAUGGUCUCAAAUCUAAUGUCUAAAGUUGUCAUUAAGGUUUUCUCCCUUUGAAUUCUGUCGUUGGGCCGAGUUUGUUGUCUAACGGCGUUUCAUCUUCUGGCAUGUGGAGAUCGACCAUACUAACGACUUAAUAGGUUUUCUAAUUUUAUCUCUCAGAGGCGAGGACGUUCAUGAGGGGGUUCUUCAAUACAACUUCACGUAUAAGGUGAGUGUCACAGAGGUCAGCUUAAGUAACAACUGACUUGCGUGCUUUAUUGUGAUAUUUCAUCUUAAAAUGGACCUGACAUGCUAAUGUGUCUAAUGCUUUGAGGAACAACCUCUCAAGGAUGUCGUUGUAGACAUUUUCAUAAGGGAUCAUGAGGAAAUACACAUUUCCAAUUAUUUUGUCUUUUCUUUCCCCGAAAGAGGCUGACAACUUAGUAGUUCCACAUGAAAGAGUGGAGGAAUCAUUAAAUGAUAGUAGACUCUUACUUUCAUACAACUUCAAAUCUCACUUACGUAGCCCUUACCUCAUGAAGAUUUUGAUGUACAUUAGAUUGCAAGAGCUUCCGUCAUCAAUGAUGAUUCAUGAUACUGAGUGAGUCAUUAUAGUGGCAGUUACUACCCGUGGAAUUGUCUUAUUAGGAGUUCCACCUACUUUAUCACUAUCUUGAAACUUUAAGAUAAGUUUGUCACAUUCCUACCUUUCGUUCGCCAUUAGCGAGUUGGGGAGUUUCAUGGUGGAAGCUAUUUAUCAAUGAAUGAUUUGUCGUCUACUGAAUCAAUGAAAAGGAAUGAAAAGAUAUUAAGGCUCAAAAAUCUGUUGUGUUUUCGGUAAUUGGACCGGUCAUCAUCAUCUUCUUCUUCAAGUAAGCUCGCUGUAGCAAAUCGUGAUUUUUGAAACAGAGAGACUUGAUUGUAGAAUUCAUAGGAAUCAAAAGUUGUUUCUUACUAACAACGUCAAUGUUUUGUUAUGUAACUAAAAUGUGUAGUAAAGUCUUAGUGCGAUGGAUCAAGCUUAUGGUACGACGGAUAGGGAUGAACCGACAAAGUUAACACUCCAACAUCCAAAUCAAUUAUUGAGUAAAAAGUUACGUGAGAGUAAGUUAGGAUUUGAACAUACCCCAACUCUUGCAUGAUUUCCCUUAUAAAUGAAGAGGAGUUAACGAUCCCCUCGCUUUUCGACGUGGUAUGCGAGGAAUCGUCUGUGGUAUGGAUUGAGUACGAGUCUCAAGGUAAUGAUACACCGUAUCUCCGUAUAUUAUAAUUUUGGAUUGAUGAUUGAACUUUUUUGUUAUUGAGUCUAUGAUGAUCGAUUCGGAACAUAAUUUAUUAUAAGCCACUUUGAUAUCGACAAAAAUCAUUUAAAACCUAUAAUAUAAUUUAAUACACAAAGCACAUGUUAAUGUUACCGUUGUCAACUAUAAUGCUAAUUUAUUUUAUAUACAUAAAAUAAUUGAAACACUUCAUCAAAAACCAAUCCACACUCUACAGCAUUUGAGUUGUGAUUUGAACAUAAGGCUGAAGACUUUAACAAUUUGUAUUUUUCUACACAUGGCAUUCUUUUUUGUGUGGAAAAGAUAUAUCAUUUUUAAUACUAGUAUGACCAAUUUGAAAAUAUUUAUAUUAUUAAUCAUUGGUUGUUUUAUGUUUUAAUAAACUUUCUUAUCAUUUCGUUUAUAACUCAUAAUCGUAUGUAACAAACAUACACAAAUGGUGAGAAGAGUAUUUUAAGAUGAAGAAUAACUUUUAAAAAAGGAAGAAUCACUUUAUAUUCUUUGCUCCACAUUAAAAAUAUCCUCUCUUUUUUAUCUUGAUGGAAGAAAUGAACUUUUGCUUUUUCAUAUUCGAAUAAUCUUCCACUCCCAAACAGGUAACAGUUCUAAAUACUAAAAAGCAGAUAGCAGACACUAUAAUCAGAAAAAAUGUUAAGUAUAAAACUGUCCUUAAUGAGUUGCAGUGUUAGUGUGUUAACGUAAUACUUACACAAUCUUAACAAAAAAAUGAUUUUGUAUUAACAUCAGAAAUUAGUUUAGUUAAUUAACCAUAGAAUAAGGGCUUGUUUGAUAUGGUUUUGGAAAAUUGUUUUUUAGUUUUUAAAAAUUAAAAAUUAUAAAAUUUGUUUGGUAGUCUAAUUUUAUAAAACUAUUUCUCAAAACUAUUUUCUAUUUGUGAGGUUUUUAAAACUAAAAAAUCUAAAAUAGGUUUUAGAGGUUUUGAUUUUUGGUUUUUAGUUUUGGAAAUUAUGAAGAGGACAAAACAAGAAAAAAUGGUACUAUAUUCAUCAAUGGCAAAUUUGUAACGAUAUUCAACUUUAAAACAAUUUUUAAAAAUUAGAUUAUCAAACAUGUUUUUUUUCUCAAAACCUUUUUUUAAAACUUAAUUUCCAAAAUAAUUUUUAAAAACUAAAAACUAAAACUCAUUCAAACGGGUCCUAAGAAAUUUCCUAAACUGGUUUCCAAUUCCGUACUCUCUUAUUUAUGUGUGCUGUUGCUUUUUCAAUCUUAAAUUCCACAUGUGCAAUAUGUUUCAGACCAUGUUUGCUUCUUGUUACAAAUUCAUAACAAGAUUUUAUAGUACUUUCAGCAUUGGUUCUACUUUUUAAAUAGUCAAAUUUUAAAGGUAGAUAACUGAUUUUAUUAUUUUAGUUUUUUUUUAAAUAAAAUUAAUUUUGUUUUGAUAAUUUAUUCUACUUAAGAUUAUAAACAAUAACUUUUGUUUUUAAAUUGAUUUUUACACUUGAAUUUAUUUUGAGAAAAAAGAACAUAAAAAUAUACGAUAAUUUUAAAUGUCAAUCUAUUAAACACGUGUAAAUCAUCAAAUAAUACUUGAGUUUUAAAAUUAGGUUGAUGAUAUAGAAAAUUAAUAAAUUUUUAUUAGAUGAAAAAAUAAAAUUAUCUUGCAAUAUCAACGCACUAUCUUUAAUCUCAUUUAUUUUUUAUAUAAAUUUAUCUAAAAAUAAAUUAAAUUAUUUAUAACAAUAAUUUAUUUUAUAAAAUUAAUUUACUUAAAAUAAUAUUUUGUCAUAACAAAAUCAAACAUAUUCAAUAAUCAUCAUAAUUUUAAGAAUAUUAUUUGACACAAUAAUAUUCUAAUUUGUAUUUUUAAAUUUCGGAUAUAUUAAUAUUAUUUCAUCGACAAAAUCUUUGAUACAUUGGAUUUCUGAUACAUUGACAAAAUUAAUUUAUUUUUAAAUUAUUUUUAAUAAUAAUUAUUUUUACAAAAUUAAUUAAUUUAAAAUAAUAUUUUCGUCACAACAAACUCACACAUACUUAAUAAGCAACAAAACUUUUAGAAUAUUAUUGGUCAAAUUAUAUCUUAAUUUAUAUUUUUAAAUUUAUUUCUGAAAUAGUGUCAUAUACAUAUUCCAUUUUCUGAAAAAAUAAAAUUAAUGUGCAACAGCCAAAUGCUAAUAAUUUUUUUAAUAUUUAGUGAUCAAACUUUAAAUUAAACACUUAAAAGAUUUAAACGUCUAUUUAAAAAUGUGAUUUUAAAAGAUUUAAGUAUUUAUCGCGUGACACACAAUAUUAAUUCUUAAUAACAUAUCUAAAUUUAAGAUUACUUUGACUAAAUCAUAAUUGCAUAAUUUUGUUGAAGUUUGCCUUAGUAUUUUUGGUUAAAUUACAUAUACAUUAAAUUUCCUAAUUUAACCCUCAUUAUAAUUCUAAAAAAAAUACUAUUUUUGUGUCAAACAAUAUAGUUCUAAUAUAAUAAUAAAAUAGUAUAAUAAAUAAAAUAAAGGAAUCGGAAUCCCUCACAAUAAUGAUCCUCUUGCAUCAGUAAGUGUGCGUGCGUUGUUAAGCCAAGAACAAGAAAAAGAAUUUUUUCUUUUCAAAAAUUUUUAGCAACAAAAAAAAAAAACUUCAUCACCGAUUGGGUUAUAUCAAUAUUCUUCUUCGUAUUUGCCUCUUAUAACUCUUUUUUUUCGCACCGUCGUGUUCAUCGUUCAGAGCCAAACAAGGUUUCGUACUUUUUUUUCGUCUCACUUUCGCUACUGUUUCUGAUUUUGAUUUUUGAAUCUGAAACUCUUUUCAUUGCAGGUUUCUACUUUGUGGCUACACAUGUUCGUUUUACGUUGAUUCAAUUUCGCUGAAAUUUGAUUCAACAGCUAUGCAAAAGGAUACUACUAGUAGUAGUUCUCCGUCAACUAACACUGGACGAAUUAGACACCGGAAACGCUCUAAUGAGGUUAAUUAGUUUUUUAAACUUUCAUUUCUCACUGUUAAUUGCUGUUUAUUUUAUGUAUUAUUUAAAGUAUUUUGUAUUAGUAGGUUUUUUUUUUUCAUAUUGAAAUUGAUUCAAUUUGUAGUAUUGAUUAUCCUAAAAUUUGAAGAAUGUAAAAUUUGUCUAAUGUAUCUAAGUAUGGAAAGCAUAUGAUUGGAGGCUAGGUCUAUUUUAUUUUAUUUUAUUUUUAACUUAAUAAUAAUAAAUCUAGGUUUAUUUUUUUUAUCAUUUGUAUUAUGUUACUUGAUGGUUUUACCCUCUAUAGGUGGUUAAUUUGGUAGAAUAACAGUGCCAUUGUGGUUUUGGAAAAAGUUGUAUUUUGGAGUUUCGACAAAAUUACAGUGGUCCGGUGAUUUUGUGAAACUCGUUGUAGGGUUGUUUAAUAGCGGCGUUAUAGCAUAGCGUAUUGCUGAACAAUAGCGACACGUGGUUUUGUCAAAGUCAUUGCAGAGUUGUUAAAUAGUGGCGCUAUAGGAAAUUGCUAUUGUUCUGUGAUACGCUAUUUACGAUGAAAUGUUGUCAAAUAGUGGCUAUAGCGGCGCUAUUGCACUAAUGUAUUGCGGAAUUUGAAUAAAUCACAAUUUUUCCGCGAUGCACGAUUGACAACACUGACUCACUGUGAUUUCAAAUAUGUAAUUAAUAAGUAGAAUGAUUUAGGAUCUGAAACUCAGCAGUAUCUGUUUGGGAAAAUUUUCGUAUACUUUUUGAAGGUGGUUUAUUGUAUGAUGUCUUUAUAUCAGGUUAUUCCAGAAGUUAGUAAAUCAAAUGGUGCUCAGUUACUUGUUAAUGACAAAAGCAAAUACAAGUCUAUGUUGAUUCGUGCAUAUUCAUCCGUUUGGAUGAUUGGGAGCUUUGUGUUGAUCAUCUAUAUGGGUCACCUCUACAUUACUGCAAUGAUUGUGGUCAUUCAAAUCUUCAUGGCAAGAGAACUUUUCAAUCUACUCCGCCGAGCUCAUGAAGAUAAGCAGCUUCCAGGAUUUAGGCUAUUAAAUUGGUAUAUAUUGUAAACUCAUUAAUCUCACUGCAAGGAAAUUUAUUAUUUCAUGUCGGCAUUGUCAAAUUUCCGCCAUGGCGGUGUUGUGGCGUUAUAGCAUGGCAGGUUUUGUGCCCGCCUCCGCAACACCUAUUAUAUCUGCCAUAGGCUGCAGCACCGUAUUUAUACUGUGGAUUUUGACUCUGCGCCAUAAUCCGCAUCUGAUUUAAAAGAAAAACAUGUAAUAACUUGUUCCAGUUUUAAUUGGCAUAUCCCAUUUCAGGCAUUUUUUCUUCACCGCAAUGCUAUUUGUUUAUGGACGUAUUCUGAGUCAGCGCCUGGUUAACACAGUAAAUUCCGACAAGGUUUUAUAUCGGCUUGUGAGCAGUCUUAUAAAGUAUCAUAUGGUUGUCUGCUAUUCCCUGUACAUUACAGGUAACCUAUACAUAUCACUUUUGUUGUUUUAAUGAAAGGUUUUAUAUCGGCUUGUGAGCAGUCUUAUAAAGUAUCAUAUGGUUGUCUGCUAUUCCCUGUACAUUACAGGUAACCUAUACAUAUCACUUUUGUUGUUUUAAUGUUCAUGGGCUGGGUUUUAUGCAAUGUCCAGAUGCCUAGCUAAUUUGUUUUCUAGUUUUUUUAGGAUUGCAAUUUUACUGAUGAUUUUGCACCAUUGCAAGUACUCUUAUACUUUGAUUAUCUUCCCUUUUAUUGAUUGGGCUCAGGAUUCAUAUGGUUCAUUCUCACAUUGAAAAAGAAGAUGUACAAGUACCAAUUUGGCCAGUAUGCUUGGACACACAUGAUUCUGAUUGUUGUAUUUGGGCAGUCCUCUUUCACCGUGCCAAGCAUUUUUGAAGGGAUUUUCUGGUAAUUUAUCCAGUAAAAGAAAAUAAUGAUUGUUCAAUAAUUAUGCCCAAAAAACUUUUGACUAUUUUUGAGGAUUCUUGUUUGCAUGAUAUCAUAUUUCGUGAUGCUGUUCGAAAUCCAUGCCAACAACUUUUUAUGUUAGAUGGUAUCUGAUAGGUAUUUGAUCCAUAAUAAUCAACUGAAAGGAUGGUGUAGUGAACUGCAUAUUUUGGGAGCAUGUAGGCUAAAUCACUUGGGACAUUUUCAAUUCUUGCCAAAACAGUGGAACUGAAGUCUUAGGAUAGGAAAAAAGAUGGAGAAAAGAUUAGGGAUUGAGCAAUGAGGGACAACUUACUGCCGCAUGGGAGGUGACCAAGUAAUUAUACUCUCCUAACAGAUGACUUUUCAGAGAUGGGGAUGAAAUUUUAAAAUGAAUCACUCUAUAUUAAGCAAAGGAAUCAAAUAGUCUUCGAAGACAUUUGAACUUGUAAUUACAUUCAUAAGCAUAAGCUAAGUUAUUGAUGUGAGCAAACAAACAAAUGAAAUGGGAGAUAUGAGGCCAUAUUUUUAUGUCUAGAGUUCUCAUUGUUAUGCCAGUAUCCUAGUAAAAAUUGAUUGAGGGGAAAAAGAUAGGCGUGAAUAGAGGUUAGAAUGAUGUAAAUAAGCAAUUCUCAGUUUAAAUGGAUAUACUUUCUAUUGAGAAUUGCUUAUUUACAUCAUUCUAACCUCUAUUCACCCCUAUCUUUCCACCCUCGUUUACAUUUUACCAUGGUUGAUUGUUGAAGGUAUCAUGUUAAUUCAUUUUCUCUAAAAAAUAUUUUCUUGCUUGUAAAAUGGCAUCAUUUGAUUACCAAUAUUUGAAGUGAUUUUGUGUAUAUAUGUACUAUUACAUGAGCAGCACAUUGCACUACUCCAUUGCUUUUUAAUUGAAUUGAUUUUGUGUAUGUAUGUACUAUUAGAUGAACAAAACAUGUCGCUGCUCCAUUGCUUUUGAAUUGAAUUGAUUUUUAUGUUUUGCUGACUUUUUGUACAGGUUUCUUCUUCCUGCAACGCUUAUUGUCAUUAAUGACAUUGCUGCUUAUUUCUUUGGUUUCUUCUUUGGAAAAACCCCUUUGAUUAAGUUGUCACCAAAGAAAACCUGGGAGGGUUUUAUCGGGGCAUCUGUUACAACCAUCAUAUCUGCAUUCAUGGUGAGUAACUUUUUAAUUACUUAAUGAAGAUAAAACACGUUUUUUUCUGGGGUGACGCUUUCAUUGAUCCAGAAUCACUUGUGAUGAUAUAUAUUCAUUAUUGUGAACGUUAUUGAAUGAUCAUAUUUAUGGCAAUUAAAUUCUUCCUUUUAGUCUUUAAAUAUCAAUGUAAUUAUUCUGAACUGGAUGCUAAUAUCAUUGUACAAAUCUCAUUUUGCAGCUUGCCAACAUCAUGGGUCGUUCUCCGUGGUUUACAUGUCCCAGGAAGGUAGCUCUCUUGACACACCACAUAUUGGGCCAGUUUGUUUUAACUUUAAAAAAAUGAAUUUUUUCUUUGUAUUUUUGAAAAUGGAUUCUACAAAAAUAUUUUUCAAAAUAUUAGAAGUUUUUCUAAAUUUGUUUUUUAUAAAUUAAAAGAUUGAAUUGUUCAUUCUAUAACAUAAAUAUACAUUAUUGAAGAUCAAAACAUAGUCAAAAUCACAAUUUUUUUAAAAAGUUGUAUCCUAAAAAUGAUUUUUAUGAAAAGCUAUUUGAAAUAGCUUCCAAAUUAAAUGAUUUUUUGAAAAUUUGAUAUCCAAAAAAAGUUUUGAUAAAAUGAUAAAAUACCUCAAAUAACAUUUUAAGAAUAACUAUUCAAACAAAAAAUUUAUUUGAAGCUUUUAUGAAAAGUUUCUUUGUAAUUUUUUUUUACACUAAAAUAUGUAACAUUAUAAAAAUCAUUUUUAAAAAAAAGUCAAAACAAACGGGCCCAUUAAAAGGUCUUUUAUUCAACAACCAACUGACUUGUGUUCAUAUCACCAACAUGGUGGGAAUAAAUGCAGGACCUAUCAACUGGUUGGCUUGACUGUGAUCCUGGUCUACUGUUUAAGCCAGAAUCUUACUCGUUGUUAGGAUGGACUCCUCACUGGGUAAUUACUUGACAUUCAGCUGAACUUUGAAUUUUAUAACCUACAACAAUAUCUUUGCAGUUUAUGGCAAUGUGGGGUCGUAGUACAAAAUUCACCAGAUAACUUAUCUACAUUUACAAAUAACACAAUUUGGAUGCCUCAAACAGCUAGAAGGACAUCUAAUUUGACUUGGGAGACUCAAAAAACUAGGAAAGCAUAUGGAAUUGGAAUGUACAUCUAAUCUGGAUAAAGAAGUGCAGGGAUUACUUAGAAAACAGCUGGGUCAUAGACCCAGACUGCUCAAUCAAUGACUCAAACUCAAUUGACCCUAUCACUGAGUUGGUCAAAGAAGUCAAAUUUUAACCAUUCAAUUCUACAUUUGAUUCUUAGAUAAAAUUGACAUUAUUAAGACGACAACAUAGAAUUUGAAAGCCGACAUUUCGACCAACCAUUGAAUUUAAACUUUCUAUUUCUGUUUUGCGGUUCAGCUUAUAAAAAUGAUUCUAUGUAAUCAUGAGAAUUCAAUCAUAGACCCUGAAUAUCAUAUCUUUUGACACACUGUAUACUGUUGUGCAGUUUCCUUGGAAAGAGAUAUCAAUCCUACCAGUUCAAUGGCAUGCUUUAUGUCUUGGCUUGUUUGCUUCAAUUAUCGCACCUUUCGGAGGCUUCUUUGCAAGUGGUUUCAAAAGGGCUUUUAAAAUAAAGGUAUGCUCUUGGCAUUUUAUUUUUCUGUUCAAUAUGCAAUCAUGCUAAUAUAUCACCCAUUUAAGUUCGAGGUAUAAAUAGAUAAAAUGGCUGUUCCCAUUUUCGUAGGAUUUUGGUGAUAGUAUUCCAGGACACGGUGGAAUUACCGACAGAAUGGACUGCCAGGUAGACUCUUGAUGUACAUAAUUUAAUUUAAAUUUAUAUUUCCAAUUACCAAAUUUAUUAGUCAUACAGGUUAAUAGGCUUAAUUUUUUUGAUGGAAUUGAAUAGAUUAAAUGUGAUCAACUACCUUUCUUAAUAUGCUUGUUUUGGUCAAUAUUUCUUGAAAUCCAAAGGAAGUAUAAAUCAAUUCGAAGUUGGGAUUACAUGGAAUAUCAUAAUAGGGAAACUAUAUUCAAAAGAAUCAAGACCAUAGUUCUCUCCCACAUCUCUGCCCUACCCUCAAAAGAAGAUAUAAAAAAAAGGAACUUCCAAGGAAGAAAAUGAUGAAGCAUUAAAGAUGGUCCUGCACAUUAAAAUUCACUUAAUUCUAGUAAUUGAAAACAUUCAGACCUCAUAGGAUCUUCAAUGAACUUCCUGAAAAUCUUCAAUGACUAAUAAUCAUGCAAUCAAUAGAAUGUUUUUAUAUCAUAUGUGAAAGUGGGUAGAGAUGUUUUGCGCUUAUUUUAUUGUAUGUAGUUAUAUACUGAUCUACUUUUGCUCCUCUACUUGUCACUAAUUUUAAUUUAACUCCUUUAUACUAUUUGUAUCUUUAGUCCUUUUAGUAUCCUGCUUUUAUGUGCAAGUAGAAGUUAAGUAAUAUUUGACCAAUUUGUCCUUGUGUAGAUGGUUAUGGCCGUGUUUGCAUAUAUAUAUCAUCAGUCCUUUGUCGUGCCACAAAGUUUAUCGGUUGAAAUGAUUUUGGACCAGGUAUUGUAUUUUAAAAAUGAUAGCAGCAAUACACUCUUUUAAAUAACAUUUUGAAAGAUGUUGUAUUUAUGGCAUUUAUGCUGGUUGCUUCAGAUAUUGAUGAACCUAUCAUUCGAUGAACAAGAAGCUCUGUAUAGGAGGCUUGGAGAAAUGUUGCAACAAGGAAUUGAAAGGAUGUCUUAGAUCCAUUGCGAGGUGUAUUUGUCCUUUCUCCUAUUUGAUUCCUUCAUUUACAAGGGAAAUGGAAAAAAGAUACUUUUGAAUGCGCGUUCUAUCUUAUGAGUGAAACGAAACAAAGAUUCAGGAACCUGUCAAGAUGUGUAUAGUGUGUACUUUGACAGUUAAAACAUCCCCUUCUGUUUCUCUCGCUACUGUUAUUGAAUAUUCUAUUGAUUGAUUUACUUGAACAGCCAUUACUCGCCGAAUAUCUUGGAAUAUUCAAAUAGCCAAUGGCAGCCCAAGAGGAACGCCUGUAUUGUUACUCAAUUCCUUGAGGGGAGUGUUAACAUUUUUAAAUUAACUGUAAUUUGAGUGAUGUUGGAUAGUUGAUUGAUUCCAUUGCGAUAAACAAUAUCUUGUUCUACAUACUAUGACAUGUUGCAAAUAUUGUGAAGGGAAACACAAACUAUAUACCUGUCUGUACUGACUUAUCUGAGUUUAUCUACUGACAUGAGAUUGUUUGAGAAUUUAUGAAAUUCUCUCAUGAAUUCACCAGUUUUUAUGUUUGCCAUACUAUUACUAACACUAUGAAAUCAUACUUUAAGCUCUGAUUUUCACCUUGAUUUGGAUUUAAAGCUCCCAUGCUUUAUGCGUGAUUGUGUUGUUUUCUUGAAUUGUCUUUUUUCUUGGGCGUUACACACAACAGAAUUGAUUACUCCAAAGUCAAAAGGGAUUUUGAACAUGAUGCAAAUUAAAUCACUAUCAAAUCAUACUUGUUAAGUUCUGAUUUUCACCUUGAUUUGGAUUUAUAGGUGUUUUUUUCUUGCAUUGUUGUCUUUUUUUUCUCUGGAAAUUACACUUACAAAAUUUAUUACUCCCUAGUGAAAAAGGAUUUGGAACAUGAUGUGAUUUAAAUUUCUAUCUACCUGAGACUGAGAGUGUGGUGUUGAAUUUUAUUUUGAUUAAAAAAAAUAUACAACUUGCAUUAUGAUUCAAUGAUUUAAAUCUCUAUCUAUGAGACUUAGAGUGUCUUGUAUCUAAAAUAGUGUUUGAUUAUGCUAUGAAGAAAAUUAUUAGAGUGAAUUGAUUUUAUACAUUUUUUUUGUCUAAAAAGAGUGAAGGUAAAAUGAUUAAUGUUUGGAUAAAUUAUUGCAAAAUUGAAUUGACAUCAAUUAUUUUAGAUUCAAAAACUAUUGAUCCUAUAUUCAAGAAUAUAAUCAAACAUAUUAAAAUUAAUUCUACACACGUUUGGAAUCAAUUGAAUCCUCCAAGUGAAACUAAUGACACAAUUUACUCAAAAUUCUGAGUUUGUAUCCGGGUCAAAAAUCUGGGUCACUACAUUUCUUUCAGGUAAAUGUUUAAUAAAGUAGUAGUGUUGAUUAAGGAUUAAUAAUAAAAAUAAUAUAUAAACAAUAUUUUUUUAUUUUAAAAACAAUAACUUUUAUUUUUGUAAAAAAAGAUUUUCACUAUCGUUAAACUGAAAUUAUUUUUGAAAAUAUGUUAGUCAUAAUUAUUGCCACUUAAAUGACUUCUUGCACAAUAAAUUUUUAGAUUUUCAUAUCACUUCAUACUUUUGAAAAGAUUGAGUUAUCAGAAAGACAUAGGAAAGACUAUACUUACCAAUUUCGCCAAUAUAGUUUUAAAUCAUGAACAAUAGUGUUAUAGUUUUCUGAUAUUGUAAAAUUCUUCACACAUGAAUAGUAGCAGUGAUUUUUAGUUUACUGAUAUUGUAAUCCUUCACAUGAUCAAUGAUUAAAUAUCGACUUUUUUCAGCUUAUAAAUCAAAUUUUCAAUGAUAAUAAUAUAGAUAAAACUUCAGUAGACAGAGAUUAUUAGCCACACAUUAUUGCUCUAAUAAUGUCUCAUUCCAACCUAGCCUUGAAACUUUAAGGGAAAUUUCUCAAUGAAAGCAAUGUUUAAAGCUCCAUAAGUUAAUAACAUACUCAAGAACUCAACUAGAAAAGGUUACAUAAUAUGUUACAAUUAAAAAUGUGGUAUGAAACUGAGAAACAAACAACCAUGUUACUGCAAAACUUUUGGUUGUCAUAAGUAGUGUUAACAAAAGUCUCAGACCAAGAAAGCAUCCAUAUGGCUUUAAAUAUGGUACAUGUCCUAAAGCUGCAACAGAAUAUAUAAAAAAUUAUCAUCACUUAAACCAAUCUAAAUCAGAAAAACAAAACUGAGAACCAAGGGCGAACGAAACACAGAUAACUCUUCCAAUAUGUAUCAUCAUGAUAUAUAAACUUUCAUCUUCUACUAUCUUCUCUUAUUGGCUUUUUGGCUUCUCAAUCUUCACAUACGGCAAAACACCAAACAGACAAACAAUUUUCGGAGACCAGCCACGUUGUUGAGCACGGCAAAACAUCAAGAAUGUGUUUGCAAAGUAGGAAUUGAAGCCCAUGAAAACAUGCCAUAAAGCAUGACCCUGUGGAUUAACUGGCCAUUGGGAUAUCUCCUUGCAGAAAACUCGAUCGCAUAACCAAAACAAACUUCCUAAUAGAAGAGUGGCUACAUAUAGCUUUGCUAUCAGCUUGGCACACGCAUCUGCAGUAUAGAUGUAAUACUUGUACAUUCUUGGAAUGCAGAGGAGACAGAGAAAGACGUAGUGGACUUUGAAGCCAAUGCCAAACCGGACAAAUGAAUGGACACCGGCAAAAGCAAUACCAUACAGAAAUAGGAAUAUGGGCAUUGUACUACGGUAGUGCCAAUCUGGAGAGUAGAGGAUGUACAUGUACAGCAGAAUCUCCCACACCAUAGGAGUUUCGUCACUCUGCUGUUGCCUAAAUUAAAGUGAAACAUUUGAAGAAUAAAUAAUCACCCAAAAACAGAUAUUAAUUUACAAACUUCUUUCUUUUAUAAACUAUGACAAACUUAAUAAUCAAACUACGCAUUCCGGUAGAAUAUGAGAUGCAUUUUAUGCAUAUGAAGAAAAUUCCAAACCCUCAAAUGACGAUGGUUAACUAGCUCUUAGCACCAAAAAAGUUUAACAAUCAACACUCAAAUAUAAUGAAACAGUUAUUGCAUAGUCACAAUAUCAUUCUAGAUCUAUCUAACCCUUUUGAAAAUAAAACCCUUCCUCCCAGUAGCAAAAAUAAGGUCGAUUAGCAUAGGGUAUGAAGAAAUACAAGGAGGGAAAAAGGAUGAAGUGGCAUAAAAAUUAGCCUCUUAAUUCAAAUGCAUAAGUGUCUUGUGUGUAUCAAAGUGUGGUCAAAUAGAGGAGUAAAUUUGUGCAAAUCUAUAUGGUUCUGCGAUAUGCUAUUUAGUACAAAGCGUUGUCAAAUAGCAACUAUAGCAGGGCUAUAGCACUGUAACAUAGACAAACUACUAUAUUUCAUGAGCCGCAGUUAACCUAAGUGGUGAAUCAGAAAUGUAUAUGUAUAUAAUAAUUGAUUUAUAUUUAUGAGGUUAGAGAAACAAACAGCAAAAUUGAAUGAAUUACUGCAAAAGAAGACCAAAAUCAAUACUUACACAUGUUGUAAGGUAGCAUGGUAUAACAUGCUUCCAAAGGCAAGCGUCAUAUUAGAUACGUGAAGAACACUAAAUCUUUUCUCAAACCGUUGUCUAAAAGCAUUUAUAAGACCAAUGAGAGCCAAAAGAAUGGUUGGAAUGUUGGAUAUUGUGUUGUAAAAUUCCGCAAUAUAAGAUGAAUAUGCAUAAUUUUUUUCACAACACUCUAUAGUUGACGUGACUGGACCCCAAAAGCUAGAUAUCGUUUCUGCCAUUCUCCUCUACAGCCAGACGGUUUUCUUAUCAAAUUAUCCGUAUAUAAAGCUGCAGAGAUCACAAAUUCCUGCAAAUAAUGUGGCAACAUGGAAAAAUACAAUCAGUCGUACAAUUUGUUCAUAGGGAUGGAGAUAAUAAGGCAGAAAGUAUCCAUGAUAUACUACUACAACAACAACAACCAAGCCUUAUCCCACUAAGUGGAAUCGACUACCUGGACCAAUUUUCGUGAUAAUGUUCUAUCCAGGACCAUGCUUCUAUCCCAGUCAACACAAUAUGAAAAACAACAUAAAAGUUUCAAUCUACUAUAGUUUCAACUCCGAGUAAUAAGUAAACUGUUUGUACAGAACCUAUAAGGAUUUACAGUUGAGAAAUUAGUAUCCAGUGCUGUCAAAUAGCAACCGUAUAGUGCCAUUACAUAGUCUAAUUUUCGCAAACCGAUACCGUUCACAUACACAAUUUAAUACAAAAUAUUGUCAAAUAACUGCUAUGGUAGCGCUAUAGCAUAGCAGAAUUGAAACAAACUAUUAUUUUCUGUGAUCCGCGGUCGACAAACACAGGUAUUACCUAACAUGAAAAACAACAAUGUAGAUACAAAUGCAAGAAAUAAAGUAAAAAAACCUAAUAAUGGGCGCUGGAAAAUACCUAUGUAUAAGAAUACAAAAUUGAGCAACACAAUGUUCAAACAAUGAAUUCAGCAAUGUCUAAUACACCCUAACAAGCAUACAUCAAAAGGAAACAAAAGGUAAACUUCUAUCAACCAUCCACCACAACAGUGAGUACCAAACAACAACUUCAACACAGACAAAAACUGCAAUUCUGGUCUAAAAAAUCCAGAAUUUGAAGAUAUAGAUAACCAGAUCCGACAAGGAUUAAAAUAAAAUAAAAUCGUAAAAAUAAUGAAACAAAAUCGUAUGCAGGAGUGGAAUUGGAUCCAAUCUGAGUUGGGGGAAAAAAUAAAAGUAGAAUUUGCAUGUGCAAAAUAAGAAAAGCAAUAAUAGAAGUAAUAAUGGAAAAAGAUGCAUACUUGAGGAAGAAAAAGAAAUCGAUUGUGAAGAAAUAGGUAGAUCUCAUCUCAUGACUUUCUCUGUGUUUGUGUUUGAAAUAAUAUUCGGUCAGAGAGGGAUGGCAUGGGCCGGAUAAUCUCUUUUUCUCGUACGGCGUGACCUUAAACGGAACUAAUUUUGGGGUUAAUUAGGUUUUUUUUUAUAAUUAAUCUCGGCAAAUCAGCAAAAUUUUAUUUUGAUUCUUGUAAAAUUUCAACAAUAUAAUUUUGAUUGAGAGUAUAUAUACGUACGGACAAUAUUAUAAUUGAUUGAGAUUUGAGAGUAUAUUACUAAGAUAAGUGUGGCCGCACAAGUAUUUAAACCGUAUAAUAUAUAUUUCGACUCACAAGAUGAAAAAUAAUUGUCUAAAUUAUUAUUUAAUAGUAUUAUUUAAUUUGAUAAAAUAAAUUUUUUAAUUUUACUUAAAAAAUUAAAAAAUAAAUUAAUUAGUUUAUUUAGUGAUAAUAAAUCAAUAGAAUUGAUUAAAUAUAUCAUAAAUAAAAAAUAUUUCAAACUCACGUGUGAACUUAGCAUAUAUAAUUAAAAAUAUUCUUCACAAUAAAAUUUUAUUAGAAUAUUAUUUAAUUUUUCUUGGAUAUUUAUUUAACAAUUUUCAAUUUAUAAAAAAAAUGAGAUUAAUUACUAUACACUUUCAGUGUAAAAAGUUUUACAUUGCCGAUUCAUCACCAUCAUCCGUUUGUAUUACUUUAUAAAUUUUUAAAAUAAAAAUUAAUCUUCUUUUAAUAUCUGACGUCUAUGAUUAACUGAUGGUGUAAAAUCAUUUUACACUGUCAAUGUAUUUCAAUUAAACUCAAAAAAAAAAUUAUAUCAUUCAUAUUUGAAUACUAACUCCACGUUUAAACAAAAUAUACCUUUACUAUAUCUCAAAUACAUCUCAUUAACAUCAUAAAGAAAUAUUAGUAGACGUUUAAAAAACAUAUUUACAUAACUAAAUUAUAUAAUAUAAUUUGAUAAAAAUUCAAUAAUUAAAAAAUAUAUUUUGAACUAAUGUUAAAUUGCAACAAAAAAAAACAAUGUAAAAGCAUUCAUUCCAAUUUAAUGCUAGAUUUUUAGUUCAUAAUGUAGAUGAUAAAAUAUACGAACAAAAUUAAAUAAUUAAAAUAAUUUUAACAAAAGACAAUAUAUAUUUUAUCCAUCAUAUUCUCAAUUAACUAAUAAACACUAAUAUUCUUUUCUUUGAAUUCAUUAGAAUAUAAUUUGUUUUUAUUGUAUAUACUAAAAUAUCUUUGAAUUCAUUAUGAUACAUAAUUAUUGUUUCUAUUUGAUUAUUAGAUAUUGAAUUAAGAGUUAUGUUUAAUUUUAAUAGAAAGUAUAAUAGUGGUUUAUGACACAUUAAAUUUACACAAAAUUAUAUAAUUUAACCAUUCUUUAAUCCUAAUUUUUAUAUUUAAAAUGACAUUUAUAUUCUUAUUUGUCAUUAAUCUCGUUAAUUCUUAUUUAUUAUGGGAGAAAAAAAUUGAUACAAAUUAAGGGUGACAAACGUCAUGCUCUGUUUAGGAUGUUGACUGCUUCGCAAAACCUAAAAAAAUAUAGGAUGAAGAUAAUUGAGGAUGCAUAUCUAAAACCUUCGUCGCUAUGAAAAAAAAUGAGGACGAGACGGGAAAAACCCGCAUGCACAACACUUUUUAAAUAUAAAAACACAAAAAUUUAUAUAAAUGCACACGUCUACACAAAAAUCCAUAAAAAAAUGAAAAUCCAUAAAAAAAAUGAGGCAGGACGAGACAAACACAAUAGAAGAUUCGCAUUAAAAUGCUUCGCAUUAAAAUGCGGACAAAAUGGUCAUAAUAAUAUGUCCUUUUCGCCACCCAGAGCCUAUGAUUUAUGUCUUUAUUAUUUUCUCACUUUUAUAAUUAAUGUACCUUUUUAUAUUUACUCUAAUUUUUAUUUUAGUAAUUUUUUAUAUAAAGCAGAAGAAAGAUUGGUAGAAAAACGUGAAAUAGAUUAUUUUUUCUUAUAAAUUUUUUUAACAAAAAAGAAAAUAUAUCAACAUCUUUUUUCUUUUCAUAAUAUCUAAUCCCAAGCUCAUUUUCUAUCCGACCAUAAUUGUAUGUCAUCUUAAUAUUUUUUUAAUAUACUCAUGCAUACCGACCAUAAUUGUAUGUCAUCUUAAUAUUUUUUAAUAUACUCAUGCAUAGUAUUAACUAUCUUAUACAAAGUCACAUCAAAUAUUCAUAAAAUAAUAGCAUCAUCUGACUACUAAACACUGCAAAUACCACACAUUUUUACUAAACCAAACAUAGGCUACUUACCAUUUUUAUUUUUGUGAAAUAGCAAAAUAAGUUGAAUUGAUAACCAAAUAUGACAUAAGUUUGCAUGUACAAAUACAAACAGAAACAGACAGAAUCUGAAAAACUAAGAACACCCAACAAAACAACCACUUAAGCCUAAAAAACAAAUUAAAUUACAACAUAUAAAAACAACACAGCAACAUCAUGUUAACUAUACCCAAGUGAUAAACAAACACAGCGAGAUUUCUGACUAAGAUUUUCAAUAACUUCAUUAUCAUUAGGGAGUUCCUGUUUCAAGGCCCGGUAACUCUGAAACUUAGUCAAAUGAAAAAAUAUUGCCCCAAGUCCCAACAAAAGAAGAAAAAAGGGAAUUGGAACAUAUCAGCAAUGGAAAUGUAGCAUUCAACCGAAAUAAUCCAUAGGACAAACAUAAGCAAAUUCAAGAUAAAUAAUCCAUAGAGCAAACAUCAAUAAAUUAUCAACUAAGAGUACAACAUGUUACCUUAAUACAUAGUUUUAAAGAUGGAGAAAGUUCUUAUGGUAUGACCUCGUCACAUGAUGAGUCAAAAAAAUUCUUUAGUUCAGCUUGAGAAAUCUGCACUUAGAUGAUUGAUAGAAAUUUAACAAUUCAUGAAGAGGUUUGAUUCUAAUAAUUCUCUAAUAGUUCAUAGAUGCAUUAUGUUAUCUUGGUAAACACGUGCAAAUGGCUAAUUGAUCCAAGAAGCGCCACUUAUUAACCACUCAUUAAACCUUGUUAACCAUUUGAACGGUAAAUUAUUCAUAAAAAAAAAGACCAAAAAUAUCCAUUACAGUAAUUUUCCAAAACAAAAUAAAUAUUGCUAUACAUUUUUAUCGAUAUUUGUACCGUAGUAUUCCUGGUACACAUUUCAUGCUCAUCAUUUAACUGCAUAUUAUAAAAGAAAUGUUAAAAAUAUGCUUUAGAUUAAAAUAAUCAAUAUGCCAAAGGGUUCAACUAUUUUCCAUCCAAACACUGUGGUAAAUAAGUUUCUCCAAUCCAUAAGAAAUUGAAUUAAACCAAGAAGCUAGAACAAUACAUAAUGACAAGUUAACAAAAUCGAAAAGAUCUUCAGCAUAUUUGCUUGAUCUUAAAAGUUUUUUUUAUCAAUGUUGCAACAUCCACACUUCCUAAGGCUAUUACUUUAUAUUGUUUUGCAUCCAUAUGAACUUGAUAAAUACACAAAAGACCCCAAUAAAUAAAUAAAUUACAUGCACAUAAAAAAUAAAAAAAUAAAAGCAAAACUCAAAAAGAUUCUAAUAAUUACAAACAACAAUUUUUUAAAAGUAUGAAAUUUCCUUUGAAGUUUUGAAAAGUGGCAUUCAUGUUCGGUUGAAUAUAGGCAAUAAAUCAUCAAUAUUUUGAGUAAACUAAACAAUUCUAUUUAUCAGAGUUUGAAUAUGACUCUAAAGAUGAGUACCUUCAAUUCUUUGAUAAUGGAUGUAGAUUACUUCACAAAGUGGAUCGAGACGGAAGUUUUCGCCAAAAUUAUAGCAGAAAGAGUUCAUCGUUUCUACUGAUAGAAAAUCAUGUGCAAGUUUAGGCUUCCUGGAGCCAUUGUCUCCGAUGACGAGACUCAAAUUUCUAACACUAUGGUCAUUGACUUUUGCCGAGAUUUAGGAGUAAAAACAAAGUUCAUAUCCAUUGUGAACCCCAAAGCCAAUGAGCAAGCUGAAUCUGCAAACAAGGUAAUCCUUAAGGGACUCAAUAAGAAGUUUGAUGGCGCCAAAGGCUAAUGGGAAGAACUGCUCCAUGAAAUAUUAUGGUCAUAUCACAAGACUUCUCACUCUACUACUAAGGAAACUCCAUUCACCAUGGUAUAUGGAGCAUACUCCAUGCUUCCUCUGGAAAUUGACACGCCCUCGUGGCGACACCCAAAGUUUAAUCAGGAUGUAAACAAGAAGGAUUGAAAUGUGUGGCAGACUUGAUCGAUGAAUUGAGAGAGAUCGUCCAUAUUCGAGAAUUCUCCGCCAAGCUUAGAUCCGCAAAAAGAUACAACUCCUAAGUCAACCCGAGGGAGACACGAGAAGGUGAUCUAGUCUUAAAGAAAGUGGUUUUACUUGUGCAUCAUGGAAAACUACAACCCAACUGAAAGGGAGCAUAUUGCAUAUUAUAUAAGCUCUCUCACAGGGAAUAGAAGUUGCAGGAGCUGGGCAGCCAACUCCUGCCCAGAACUUGAAACACUCUCCAUA